RNAcentral lists this long non-coding RNA (287 nucleotides) under Elaeis guineensis (African oil palm). RNAcentral describes it as "long non-coding RNA (EGUI_LNC043825)". Lineage: Eukaryota; Viridiplantae; Streptophyta; Magnoliopsida; Arecales; Arecaceae. The record is from RNAcentral.
UGCCGGAGUGAAGGAAAGACGAAGCGCUAUUUUGGGAGAGAGAUAAAGACAGUUCGAUUUCUUUGCUAAACAAUAGAGGCAAAAAUGCCUUUUCAAUAUUUUGAAAAGAUAUAUUAAUGACACUGCAGAGCAUGACACCGUCGAAUGUGGCAAAGCUAGGGACGUCACAUCCAGCCACAAAGGCACUACUUGUCAUAUAUUUUACAUAAAAUAUGUCAUAAUAUACACAUACCAUAUCAUAAAUUUGACCUAGGAUGUCAUAAUAUUAUCAGAUCUAUAUAACAUUA